UGUUAAAAAAUUCAUCCAUUUGUAUUGUUAAAAACUAACUUGGCUGACGAAAUAACAAAAUGACAAGUUGUGUACCAUAUGUACCUCACGUUGAUGUACAAGACUCAAUUUUUAACCGUACAAAUGAAUGAAAUUUUUAACA
Non-coding RNA from Gossypium raimondii (Peruvian cotton), 142 nucleotides. Lineage: Eukaryota; Viridiplantae; Streptophyta; Magnoliopsida; Malvales; Malvaceae. The record is from Rfam.